UUUUGUCCGCAUUAAACGUUAUUAACCUCACAUCUACUCGGGUUUCAGCCGAAUUCCCCAUGUUUUCGACAAAAAGAAAGGGGAAAAGGAAAGAAAUGGAGAAACUCCACUGAAAUAGAGUAGAGAACUCCAUUACCAGAUCUAAACCAAGAGAGGAGAGAGAAGGCAGACAAAGGAAUUCAUUUGAUUAUGUCACGUGUACGGUUUAGGGGAGGGGGGACUAGGGUAGGUAGUGAGUGGGGCUGACAUGGGACUUCUUUUCAAAUUUCAAAUUCCUACGCGACAAUCGCGACACGGUCCGCGACUAACGCAUCAUUUCCGUUACCGAGACUCCGCGACCGUGACCGAUACCGCAUUUUUUAUCUAUGGGGGGAGGGGUAUUUUAGGGAGUAGAAUUAUUUUUCUGUUAUGAGUGGCUUGAAUAAUAAGCUAGGUAGUUCGUUCUAUAAAUAGAGAACAUAUGAGGGAGAGCAAAUCAUGUUGAUUAUUCAUGAGUGAUUUUUUGAGCUUUUAAGAGUUCAUUGGAAAGAAUCAAGCCUCUCAAGCUUCAAUACCUUUACGUUUUGCUGUAAUUUCAGUUCAUCAAUCAAUUUUUCUUCUUCUUGCUUAGAUUUCUACCAUUAUUGAUGUCUAAGUUGUAUUAGUUCAUAGCAUGUUAUGUCGAGUGGGGUUAAAUCAGGUUUUAUAAUUUCAGGUAAAACUAGAGCUUGGGCGGGUAAUUCGGAUUGAGUUAUCACUUUGUGGCUUUUCCACUAUGAGAUUUGAUUAAUUUUGAGAAAUUGCGAAUAUUGUAUUUGUAAUUUAUGGGUUAAGGUUGAAGUAUGGCAUGGGGACUCAAGUUCGGAGCAAGAACUGGGCGAUUCCGACGCUGAGUUCGUUGAGGUUGAUCCGAAUAAUCGCUAUGGUAGGGUGAACUCAGUUUAAACAUCUUUCUGCAAAAAUAUUCACGGAUGGCCUCGAUAACAGUGCCCUUCAAUGAGUUUGUGAGAAAUUCAGGCUUUGAUCGAACUUCUUCCGUGUUUAUGGUUCACAAAGAUGGAGAGCAUAAGCAAACCGUCUUCCGUAAGUAUUUCAAGAUCUUGAUACAAACAAGCUAGAUCCGUCUUUGACGCGAGCGGUGGAUUUAGCGGCACAAACUCAUGGCGGCGUUAGGAUCUCGGUGGUGGAAGACCUCAUCAUCUGUAAUUCUUUAGAAGAGUUGGUCCUGGGUGGGAGAGGUGUCAAUUUGUGCAGUUUAGAACUAUCUUAGUUCGUUAAUUUUGUACUUUGAUUUAUUAAACCUUGUAAGAUAAUGUAAUACUAAAGAAAUUCAGAUGUAUCCCCUUGGAAAAACCAGUGAUAUUUUUUGUUCUUGUACUCUAUAUUUUAUUAAUAAUAAUGAGAAAGGUUUACGAUUUCAAUGUUUUGUCACAGAAA
Molecule: long non-coding RNA, 1416 nt
Organism: Spinacia oleracea (spinach)
Lineage: Eukaryota; Viridiplantae; Streptophyta; Magnoliopsida; Caryophyllales; Amaranthaceae
Exons: 6
Source: RefSeq, a predicted model, not a curated record